RNAcentral lists this ribosomal RNA (331 nucleotides) under uncultured Prevotella sp. RNAcentral's name for it is "partial 16S ribosomal RNA". Lineage: Bacteria; Pseudomonadati; Bacteroidota; Bacteroidia; Bacteroidales; Prevotellaceae. The record is from RNAcentral.
GGAGUUUGGGCCGUGUCUCAGUCCCAAUGUGGCCGUUCACCCUCUCAGGCCGGCUACUGAUCGUCGCUUUGGUGGGCCGUUACCCCGCCAACUGGCUAAUCAGACGCGGAUCCAUCGUAUACCGUCUCGGCUUUUCACACUGAAACAUGCGUUUCUGUGCGCUUAUGCGGUAUUAGCAGUCAUUUCUAACUGUUAUCCCCCUGUAUACGGCAGGUUAUCCACGCGUUACUCACCCGUCCGCCACUAAGUUACAACAUGAUUUGACCGAAGUCUCCUCGGCGUUAUAACUCCGUUCGACUUGCAUGUGUUAGGCACGCCGCCAGCGUUCAUC